Molecule: long non-coding RNA, 627 nt
Filed under: Homo sapiens (human)
Lineage: Eukaryota; Metazoa; Chordata; Mammalia; Primates; Hominidae
Description: HSALNT0309210
Source: RNAcentral
GGAAGCAGGAAAUCCUUUUCCUCUCACGUUUACAUCCCAUUCAUUCUUCCUCCGGGCAAUUCAAGUCCAUUCACAGCCGCCACAGAUGCACGUGUGCACGCGCGCAGCUGCACCUUUAAAGAAACUCUCAAGUCCUGGCGGCCAGAAAACCAGCUUUCAGGCGGGGCGGUGGGGCUCCCCCUCCCCUUGCUUCGUCUCUGCAGAUCUUUGUGCUCUAGGGAGGGAUGGCCGCACAUUCUGACGAGGACGAGGGUGGUGCAUAACGCGGAGGUCAAUUUUGCACAGUCCAGGCAAAAGAGACCCCCCCCCCCCACCAACAUCCCUUCCUGUUCAGUUUCCCUCUCUGGCCCAGCGCGAAGGGCGAGGGGCGACAGAAGCCCGAGGGACAGAAAACCGAGGCUCCUCAGUGGCCGAGUUGGGAGAGAGUUUUCUCUGCAGAAGACAGCAAGAUGCCCCAGGGAAUGUUUGUGAAAAAGGAUGACUGGAUGGGAAGCAAGCUGAAGAAAAAGAAGGAAAGAAAGAGAGAAAUCAGUAAAUCACCACACAAGAGGUGGAGAAGAGGACUUAUAAAUAUUGUUUCUAUGACAUUUGAAAAUAAAUGUUUUACUCCAUGCUAAUAGUGAAUGU